RNAcentral lists this ribosomal RNA (253 nucleotides) under uncultured bacterium. RNAcentral's name for it is "partial 16S ribosomal RNA". It matches the Rfam family "Bacterial small subunit ribosomal RNA", at positions 524 to 776 of the family's 1533-position model. The record is from RNAcentral.
UACGGAGGGCGCGAGCGUUAAUCGGAAUUACUGGGCGUAAAGCGCGCGUAGGCUGUUGUGUAAGUUGGGGGUGUAAUCCCACGGCUCAACCGUGGAACAGCCCUUGAUACUGCGCGACUUGAAUCCGGGAGAGGGUGGCGGAAUUCCAGGUGUAGGAGUGAAAUCCGUAGAUAUCUGGAGGAACAUCAGUGGCGAAGGCGGCCACCUGGACCGGUAUUGACGCUGAGGCGCGAAAGCGUGGGGAGCAAACAGG